Molecule: unclassified non-coding RNA, 336 nt
Filed under: soil metagenome
Description: partial contains 5.8S ribosomal RNA, internal transcribed spacer 2, and large subunit ribosomal RNA
Rfam family: 5.8S ribosomal RNA (bases 1-120)
Source: RNAcentral
GAUGAAGAACGUAGCGAAAUGCGAUAAGUAGUGUGAAUUGCAGAAUUCAGUGAAUCAUCGAAUCUUUGAACGCACAUUGCGCCCCUUGGUAUUCCAUGGGGCAUGCCUGUUCGAGCGUCAUUUGUACCUUCAAGCUCUGCUUGGUGUUGGGUGUUUGUCUCGCCUCUGCGCGUAGACUCGCCUCAAAACAAUUGGCAGCCGGCGUAUUGAUUUCGGAGCGCAGUACAUCUCGCGCCUUGCACUCAUAACGACGACGUCCAAAAGUACAUUUUUACACUCUUGACCUCGGAUCAGGUAGGGAUACCCGCUGAACUUAAGCAUAUCAAUAAGCGGGGA